AUUGAACGCUAGCGGGCUGCCUUACACAUGCAAGUCGAACGGAGUGGCGAACGGGGGAGUAAUGUAGCGGAACGUGCCCAGUAGCGGGGGAUAACGAAGCGAAAGCGAAGCAAAUCACGCAUACCAUUGGAGAGGCCGAUGCCGGUUUAGCUAGUUGGUGGGGUAAAGGCUCACCAAGGAGACGAUCCGUAGCUGGUUUGAGAGGACGACCAUCCACACUGGGACUGAGACACGGCCCAGACUCCUACGGUAGGCAGCAGUGGGGAAUUUUGGGCAAUGGGGGAAACCCUGAUCCAGCCAUCCCGCGUGUGCGAUGAAGGCCUUCGGGUUGUAAAGCACUUUUGGCAGGAAAUCGGUACCUGCAGAAUAAGCACCGGCUAACUACGUGCCAGCAGCCGCGGUAAUUC
RNAcentral lists this ribosomal RNA (407 nucleotides) under uncultured bacterium. RNAcentral's name for it is "partial 16S ribosomal RNA". It matches the Rfam family "Bacterial small subunit ribosomal RNA", at positions 30 to 526 of the family's 1533-position model. The record is from RNAcentral.